This 511-nucleotide ribosomal RNA is filed under the name uncultured bacterium. RNAcentral's name for it is "partial 16S ribosomal RNA". It matches the Rfam family "Bacterial small subunit ribosomal RNA", at positions 29 to 507 of the family's 1533-position model. The record is from RNAcentral.
AUGAACGCUGGCGGCGUGCCUAAUACAUGCAAGUCGAACGAAACUUCUUUAUCACCGAGUGCUUGCACUCACCGAUAAAGAGUUGAGUGGCGAACGGGUGAGUAACACGUGGGCAACCUGCCCAAAAGAGGGGGAUAACACUUGGAAACAGGUGCUAACACCGCAUAACCAUAGUUACCGCAUGGUAACUAUGUAAAAGGUGGCUAUACUACCGCUUUUGGAUGGGCCCGCGGCGCAUUAGCUAGUUGGUAGGGUAAAGGCUUACCGAGGCAAUGAUGCGUAGCCGAAUUGAGAGGUUGAUCGGCCGCAUUGGGACUGAGACACGGCCCAAACUCCUACGGGAGGCAGCAGUAGGGAAUCUUCCACAAUGGGCGAAAGCCUGAUGGAGCAACGCCGCGUGGGUGAAGAAGGUCUUCGGAUCGUAAAACCCUGUUGUUAGAGAAGAAAGUGCGUGAGAGUAACUGUUCACGUUUCGACGGUAUCUAACCAGAAAGCCACGGCUAACUACGUG